Molecule: ribosomal RNA, 426 nt
Filed under: uncultured prokaryote
Description: bacterial SSU rRNA
Rfam family: Bacterial small subunit ribosomal RNA
Source: RNAcentral
UGGGGAAUCUUGCGCAAUGGGCGAAAGCCUGACGCAGCAACGCCGCGUGAGCGAAGACGACCUUCGGGUUGUAAAGCUCUGUCAGGAGGGACGAAGCCACUCAGGUGAAUAGCCGAGAGGGUGACGGUACCUCCAGAGGAAGCCCCGGCUAACUACGUGCCAGCAGCCGCGGUAAUACGUAGGGGGCAAGCGUUGUCCGGAAUCAUUGGGCGUAAAGCGCGUGUAGGCGGCCAUCCAAGUCCGAUGUGAAAGCUCGGGGCUCAACCCCGAGUCGGCAGUGGAAACUGGAUGGCUGGAGUCCGGAAGAGGAGACUGGAAUUCCUGGUGUAGCGGUGAAAUGCGCAGAUAUCAGGAAGAACACCGGUGGCGAAGGCGGGUCUCUGGGACGGUACUGACGCUGAGACGCGAAAGCGUGGGGAGCAAACA